GGGGGGGGGGGUGCAUGCAUGCAUACAUACAUACAUACAUACAUCUUUUAAAAAAGAAAAAAAAAGUGGUUUUCCAUUUCUGAAAGAGUAACAAAGAGAAUACACAUAAAAAACAAAGUGGACAACAGAUGAAUGAAAGAGUCAAGUUUCAUGCUAAUGAAAACAUAAGCUUAAACCAUUAAAGUUCCUUCAGGGUCUGCUAAACAAAACUGUUCAUACUUUGGUGUUAAAUAUAAUAGGAUUCCUUCUUGGUAGGAGGGACUGUGUUGGAGUUCAAGUUAGCAACAUUUGGGGGAAGUAAUUAGAAGAUACUUAUCACAAGCUUUAAAAAAAACAUUGUCCACUUGGACCCAGUAAUCUCAAUUCUAGAAAUGUUUAUAUAAAUUAAAGAUGUCAUCCAAUACUUACACAUAAAAGCAUUCUAGAACUCCUUUUAAUAGCAAAGCAGAGCAAAAAUAAGUGUCCAGGAACAGAAGAGCAUCUAAAAAGAAUGGACCAUUGUGGCAUAAUGGGUAAAGCUGCUGUCUGCAGUGCUGGCACUCCAGAUGGGCACUGGGUCAUGUCUGGCUGCUCACGGCUAAUGGCCUGGGGAAAGAGCUGAAAGUGGCCCAAGUGUUUGGGUCCCUGCUACCCAUGUGGGAGAUGCUUAUGAAGCUCCUGGCUCCUGGCUCCUGGCUCCUGGCUCCUGGCUCAGCCCUGGAUGUUGCCACUGUAGGGAGAGAACCAGCAGAUGGAAGAUCUUUCCCUCUUUCUUUCUCUUCCUUUCCAAGUCCCUCUCCCUUUAUAAAUCUGUUUCAAAUAAAUAAAUGUUAAAAUAAUAGAACUGUUAAAGUAAAAAUAAAAUUAGUUACUACCUGUAAUUUUCCAAAAACAUUUGAAAAAAUGUGUAAGUGCUCAUGAAGUAACAUUAGGAGGAAAGCACUUUAUAAAACCAUACCACUUAAAAAACUGAAGUAUACUUUCAAGGGAAAAAAAGUACAUAUUUAAAAAACAGCAGCAGUGAUUUUCCUUGGAUGGUUUCUGAUUUUACCUUUCCAAGUUUCUGCUCUGUGAACAUUCAUGAUGGUUAUUUUUUAAUGUUAUUUUCAGCAAAACACGUGUAAACAGUGAACUGAGAGAUUAUAAAAUAUUCAUCCCAGCCACUUCUCACUGCAGAUAUAAUACUUUGUUAAUAAAGGCACAUAGCAUUUAUAAGUGCUGCUUUCUCAUUCUUUUUGUUUGUUUAUUCUUGGUUUAUUUUUUACAAUUGAGGAGGGUUGGAAAGAAGUGAAAUAUUCUUGCUUGCUGUUCUCAUUGGUCCAGUGUAGAAGUCAGGUCUGUUGAGCAGACUCCAUGUGUACUGCAGAUCAAGUAGGUGGCCUGGUGAAGGGGACAAGUCUCUUCUCUGCCAGUGCAGAGAGGAACUAGGAUCCAGACCGGGGUUCCUACUGCCAGCCUCAUGCAUUUUCCGCAUUUCUCCAUUUUGCUGAAUUUAGGGGUAAGAAUAAAUCAGGAACGGUGGCUCAGACUAUACUCUGCUUCAUACUUAGUAGCUUCAAGUUAGGAGUCAGAAUCCUCGCUUUUUUUGAAAAGAGAAAAUGGCUCUCCUAGACACCCAGUGAUUUCCUCAAGUCCACCAACCCAUAAAUGUCACAGUUAGGACAGGUGACUACAAAUCUCAUUAUUUUUUUGCUAUUCCAGGUUAACUUCAAGGCUAUUAACUCAAUCAUGAGGAGAUCAUUUAGGAAAUGAAUACAUUAUUCUUUGAUUUACACAUCUCAAACAAUGUUCUAAGUCAGAAAAGUGAUUAUAAUUAAUAUUUUGUAAAAUGUGCUCAUCUCUUUAGGGAAGUGCUGCCAGUUUGGAGAACGUUCCACUGCCUUGCCUAAUGGUUGUGUUCUGCUAGGCAGGGGUGGAGAGGGGAGAGGGCUUAUGAAAAAUAAACAUAUUCCCAGGCCAAGGCUCUUGGGAUUCUCCUUCAGAAGACCUGACACAGCUCUGGAAUGUAUAAUUUUUACAAAUGCCUUGAAAAUGCUUGUGCUAGGGCUGCUUCAGGGAAACAUGUAUCUGAACCAAUUGAUUUCAAACUGCAGGGCACACAUCUGACUCCUGCUCGCUCGGUAAUAAGGAUUCCAGCCCAGCAAGUCUAGGCAGUGUGCCUAGUGCUCAGACUCUUCAGGGGGUUCUAAUGGUAUUGGUACACAGGACUUUCAAGAAAACCACUUGAAUAUAAUUUUAUACUGUACAUUUAGAUGGUACUGGAGGAAAGUAAAAAAUCUUAAAUAUAUCCUUUGUGACUAAAGGGAUAUAGGGGACAUAAACAAAACAAGCAAUGGUACCAUCUAUAAAAGUGAAAAAAGGAAGUUGGACAUGGAAUUCACAGAGGGGAACAGGAAUCCCUGGAGACAUCCCCAGAGACAGCGUGCUGCCUAAUUGGCUAAUGAAGAAUGUGUAGGGUGAAUGGGGAGAUGAAAGACUUCUCUAGUGAGGGGAGCAGCAAGAGGAACUGAAAUAGAAUAGAGCAAGGGCUUGAAUAAGGCAAGGCAAGUGGGAUGUUUCUGGAGAGGAAGCGUGGGUCUCACGAUGACAUGGCCUGCGAGCAUCUCAGACUGAAGGCGUAGAGGAACAGACAUUGGGGAGCCAGUGGCUGGACAUGGUUGAUGGACUCUCCGAUGAUAGAUUGCAGUAUACACAUUGACCUUUCAGAGACUUAAAGAACUUUGAAAUGAGGGUUGACGUAAACUAGAUAGUUUAAGCAUUUAGCCACCCCUCUCAUCAACUCAGAGCAAUCUCUGAUGAACGUUUAGUUUGUCUACCCUUCCCACAAUGCUCCCCUCAACAUCAUGCCCACAAGCAUUUCUGAAAGAAGAAAGGACAGGUGAAGUUUACCAUUCGUGUAUAUAGAUUAAAAUGCUGAUUUCAGGGUAGGGAUAUAAAUUUCAGAUAAUAAUUUUCCUGAGCACAUCUAUGCCCUAAAGUUCAGAAUGAAGGCUGUGUCCUAAAACCGAAAUUCUUUCUCCAGCCACAUAUGCAUCCACAUAGACAAACAGAAAUGCACAGACAGCAUUGCAAGUUGCCUCUUGUUCACUGCAGUGAAGAGCUUCUUCCAGUGUCUUCUCAGGUCAUUCUGAUGUUUCUCUGCUUCAGACUAUCGUAGGAUGGAUGAUCUGGUCUAAGGGAAACUCUAGCCCUUAGUGAUUCUGAUUCGUUUAUCCCUCUAUCUCUCUGUGUCUCCUUGAACUCAUUUGCUAGACACUUUUUAAGACCAUACUGUGAAACAACAUUUGCCAGACUAAACCAGUAGUCAUUUCACUCUCUAGUGAUGGCCAGUGUUCCUAUUUUGGAAGGAUAAUAAGGUUUUAUCCUGACCUGUGAUGAGAGGCUAAAAAACUGAUUAUCUUUGUGAUGUUCACUGUGCAUAAUAGCCCUGCUCAUAUAAACAGAUACAGAUAAUUAGCCAUGGCUGUAUUAAUUAAUCUUUUGAAGAGAUAUGAUCUUCAGCAUACACCACUGUGGAUUUAAAAAGAUAUGUGUUGAUUUUAGCUGAAUGAGUCAAAUAAGUGUGCGUGAAGGAAAGACAUAUUUGAGAGUGAAAAGUAUUAUAUGUACUGCAGAAAUAAAUCUUAUUUUUAAUGCAGACCUAGAUAUAUAACUCUCUCUGUGUGUGUGUGUGAGAGAGAGAGAGAAUUUAGACAAAGACUUAACAAUAUGUCAUACAUGGAGGUUAAUCAUUAUCCACUAUCUUGUUGAGAUGUUUUGCUAAAUAAUUAAUGAAAAUGUAGUAGCAUUUAUUAUAAAUGUAUUUAGCGUAAAUGUAAUAAAAGAGCUAAAUAACAAGAGUGUCAUAAAUAUUAUUUGGGCAUUACGGAACAUGCAUCUUGAAGUGAAAGGAGAAGAAGGAAUGGUGGACCACUCUUUUGCCUUUAUUAUUUCAACCUGCACACAGUUGUCAGGAGGACUCACAUCUCUGAUUCACAUGUUCUGAAAGAUUGCCAUAUAAUUUUCUCCAUAUCAAGUCAGAGGGAGGACAAAAGGCCUGCAUCACAUUCCAUUUGGUAAGAUAGAUAAAUUCAGAUUGGAAUUGGAGCACUCACACAGUCUACAUCAACACAUAUGUAGGCUUCCUUCUGAGUCAUAACCAGAUAAGUGGUAGGUGAUGGCCAAAGAGAGGAAAAGAAGUUGUUCAGAAAAUAAUGUUUAUGAAUUUUAAGUUCUCAGGGGAAAAAUGUGUGAAGCAUCUAUUGAAAUCUGUCCCUUGCUAAUUGAACAUAAAGCAUUAUUUGUCCUGCAGUCGAGACAACAUAUGUGAAAAUGUUAGGACCUAAAAUGCCUAUAAAAGCUUUCAUUUACACUAAGCAACUUACACUAACUAAGCCUCAUCCAAAUAUAAGACCUACUACAUGUUCAUCAUGAACUAUACAGGGCCUGUGGGGCUUUUAGGCAAUGCAAACACAACUGUUCUCAGUGCUUGUUUCUAAACCACUAUUUUUGUGUUUAUUUACCCAGCACAGAUGUUAUGGCUCAUUGGGAACUAAAUGGUUUGUGUAGGUGGCCAUGUUUUCAUGGUCCAAGCAGCUCGUGCUGAGAUAUGAGUGUUCAUUCCACUGAUGCUCUCACCCUAGGAAUGAGGAUGGAGAGGAAUGCAGUUUAAUUCAGCACAUAUUGGAGAACUGUAAUAUCUAAGUCAGAGGCGGAUCUCAUUUUGAGUGAGGAAGCAGCCAAAAACACUGGAAGCUGAGGUAUCUUGACUUGAGGUUCACAGUCUCCAAAUAAACAGAAUCGUGGGCACCACGCCUGACAGCGUGGGUGAACAGACAGUCGUAUCUGGCUUACUCACAGAAUUCCACGGAGUCUAAAAUCAAGGCUCUCCCUCUCUCCUAUAUUUGGAAAAUUAUUCGCUCUACUUUCAUCAGCGCAGGUAGGGGUUAAUGAAGGUUAAAUCGUUCUAAUUUAGUUGUGACUGUGCCAACUCAGUGCUUGAAAAAUGUGGCAGGUGUCAGGCAUCCAUACUUCCUUCCAGAAGGCCCUCACAGUGGCCUCCCUGCCACUGAUGCCAUCUUUGCAUCAUCUAACACCAUAUGGCAGAACUGCCAUUCCCCUGCUAGAGGAGACUGGUCCUUAUCAAACUUUUCCUGUUGCUCCUCUUCUAUUUAAGAAACUCGUGUUAUACACUUGAUCUGAGAUUAUCAGUAGUAACACACUAAUCAAAUGUUACACCUUUCCUCCAAGUUCAGUGUUUAAAAAAUACUGCUUUGAAUUUCCAGUGAAAACAUUUUGAUACGUCUGCUUUCCCCUUGGAAACCAUUCCAUCUUUGCCUUGAUGUGUGGAAUAAUUAUGGCUCCCAUGUUAGUUCAUUAACUUUUCUUUUCCAUUAAGCGGUCUGUCUUUUUUGACAGUACCUUCUGGCAACUAGAAAGCUAAAUGCAAAAUAAUUUGGGAUUAAGGGGAGGCCAUUCGGUAGUCAUCCAAAAACAAUAAAGUAGGACUCUGUUGAGGAUCGAAUAUAUAAGGCUUCACCAUGCUGUUACUAAAUUUCUAAGGAAAUGUUCAAACAUACGAGGACUGACUCUAGAGGGAUUAUUCUUAGAGUGGGGAAGAGUAGGUACUAUGGGAGGAUAAGACAUUGGUCAGUCUUUUUCCAAGAACUGGAAUAACUUGUUUAUUCUGCUUGUAAUCUAGCUCUCCAGUGCCCCUGCAUAUGCCAAACAUUCCUGGAGCCUUGUAUCAGCCUCCAGGUAUGCUUAAAAAUAUGCUCAUAUAAUAGGAAAACUGUUGAAAGUCAGUAUGAAAGACUACAGUAUACCUAUAACCUAUUACCAUGUGGGCAGGUUCUUACAUUCAACAUUUAAAGAAGGCAUGGUGUUUAGGGGAAAAGGCUUUUAAUUAUGUUCCGUUUUCAGCAAUUAUUGGGCGAGAAAGCCUUUGAAGGUGGAUAGGGUCUUACCACACAUACAUCGGUGAAUAGAAAGUAAAAAUACAUAGGGUUCUCUGCUCUUUUUAUAACUCUGUUCAUGUACCAGUGCCUGGGGCCUUCAUCAUUUCUGACCAUUUUCUCGUAAGCUGCAAAUUGCAAACUCAAUUGAGUAGCAGCUGUAAGUUUAAAGGAUAUUUACAAAAAUCCUCAUCUUUGGUGUGCUGUGAAACUUAUUCACUCCUGGAGACACCAUUGUUAUACUUAGGUUUUUGGUUUUUAUUAUUUAAGAGUAUUUGUGAGAGAAUGCUUAGCAUAUUUACAUUUUUGCAAUUAUAUGCACACACAUAUGAUUAAAACUACUUGAACCCAGAUACAUAUCAUACCCAAAUAUAUAUCUGAAAAUGUAAUAUUGAGAAAAAUCAUAACAACAUUUAAAAAUAAUGCCUCUAAAAGUCUCGGCAGGGAAUGGGCUGUCAGUGAAGACUGCCACAUUUCAUGUCGGAAUGCUUGGUUUAAGUCCCAGCUCCUGUGCUUCUCAUCCAGCUACCUGUUAAUGCACAGUCUUUUAGGCAGCAGAUGAUGGUCCAGGUACUUGGGUCCCUGGCACCCAUGUAGGAGGUACAGAUUGAGUUCCAGGCACCUGGCUUUGGCUUGGCCCAGCCCUGGUUGUUGUGAGCAUUGGUGAGUGAACCAACAGAUGGAAGACCUUUGACUCUGUCCCUCUCCCUCUUUUUCUCCCUCUCCCUCCCUCCCUGCCUCCCUGUCUUUCUCUCUCUCUCUCUCUCUCUCUCUCUCUCUCUCUCUCUGCCUUUGAAAUAAAAUGAAAAUACAUCAGAAUUUUUUAGAA
Non-coding RNA from Oryctolagus cuniculus (rabbit), 6741 nucleotides. Lineage: Eukaryota; Metazoa; Chordata; Mammalia; Lagomorpha; Leporidae. The record is from RefSeq and is a predicted model, not a curated record.